GAAAGAUGAGAGAAAAAUUGAAAAUUCAUCGCGAGGUAGCGCGUACAAGAUUCUAACGAAUAGUAAUCGGACGAAACGAACUAAAAUAAAAUAGAAUAAAUAUAACCGCACAUAACGUGCACACAUCGUAUAACGUAUAGCGCGCGGUACCGCGCUGCGGAGGGUAAUAGGGAAAGAGAGACGAGGGAUAGAAGUCGGGACGGAUCCGUCCGAUACACGUCAGACCUGCGCAGGCAGUGCCGCGAGAGGAGAUCGGUGUCAUUGUCAGUGGCUGCCGUUUCGCUUACGCUCGUGUAACGUAACCCUCCAGGGUGGAAAAUCGUUGCGCAAGGUAUCGAUGGAUAUCGUGUGUCAAAGUGACAGCGAGAGAGGAUCAGCGUGACACGGCGACACAAAUUGUGUGUGAAUGAGGUGAAUGUGAAUAAUAGUUUACGGUAGGUGACAGGGGUCUGGGGCUGGGAGGGGGGGGGCAGUCGACCCUCCACCGCCCCCUAGGUCCCCUCCGUAUAAAUCGUACGUCAUCGUCCAGCGAGGUACCCAUGUU
Molecule: unclassified non-coding RNA, 544 nt
Filed under: Athalia rosae (coleseed sawfly)
Lineage: Eukaryota; Metazoa; Arthropoda; Insecta; Hymenoptera; Athaliidae
Description: misc RNA ENSAEAG00005003691.1
Source: RNAcentral